Molecule: ribosomal RNA, 1084 nt
Filed under: Salmonella enterica subsp. enterica serovar Typhimurium
Lineage: Bacteria; Pseudomonadati; Pseudomonadota; Gammaproteobacteria; Enterobacterales; Enterobacteriaceae
Description: partial 23S ribosomal RNA
Rfam family: Bacterial large subunit ribosomal RNA
Source: RNAcentral
CGAGUCUUAAUUGGGCGUUAAGUUGCAGGGUAUAGACCCGAAACCCGGUGAUCUAGCCAUGGGCAGGUUGAAGGUUGGGUAACACUAACUGGAGGACCGAACCGACUAAUGUUGAAAAAUUAGCGGAUGACCUGUGGCUGGGGGUGAAAGGCCAAUCAAACCGGGAGAUAGCUGGUUCUCCCCGAAAGCUAUUUAGGUAGCGCCUCGUGAAUUCAUCUCCGGGGGUAGAGCACUGUUUCGGCUAGGGGGCCAUCCCGGCUUACCAACCCGAUGCAAACUGCGAAUACCGGAGAAUGUUAUCACGGGAGACACACGGCGGGUGCUAACGUCCGUCGUGAAGAGGGAAACAACCCAGACCGCCAGCUAAGGUCCCAAAGUCAUGGUUAAGUGGGAAACGAUGUGGGAAGGCCCAGACAGCCAGGAUGUUGGCUUAGAAGCAGCCAUCAUUUAAAGAAAGCGUAAUAGCUCACUGGUCGAGUCGGCCUGCGCGGAAGAUGUAACGGGGCUAAACCAUGCACCGAAGCUGCGGCAGCGAACGUAUCACCCAAGACAACUUUACGGAGUUGACGAUUGACGGAGCGAAGCGACGUCAAAGCGUUCAUUAAAGUCGAGUUGGCUUAGGGAUACGUUCGUUGGGUAGGGGAGCGUUCUGUAAGCCUGUGAAGGUGUGUCGUGAGGCAUGCUGGAGGUAUCAGAAGUGCGAAUGCUGACAUAAGUAACGAUAAAGCGGGUGAAAAGCCCGCUCGCCGGAAGACCAAGGGUUCCUGUCCAACGUUAAUCGGGGCAGGGUGAGUCGACCCCUAAGGCGAGGCCGAAAGGCGUAGUCGAUGGGAAACGGGUUAAUAUUCCCGUACUUGGUGUUACUGCGAAGGGGGGACGGAGAAGGCUAUGUUGGCCGGGCGACGGUUGUCCCGGUUUAAGCGUGUAGGUGUGUGUUCCAGGUAAAUCCGGUUCACUUUAACACUGAGGCGUGACGACGAGGCACUACGGUGCUGAAGCAACAAAUGCCCUGCUUCCAGGAAAAGCCUCUAAGCAUCAGGUAACAUCAAAUCGUACCCCAAACCGACACAGGUGGUCAGGUAGA